RNAcentral lists this ribosomal RNA (502 nucleotides) under uncultured Glomus. RNAcentral's name for it is "SSU rRNA". It matches the Rfam family "Eukaryotic small subunit ribosomal RNA", at positions 569 to 1075 of the family's 1831-position model. The record is from RNAcentral. Lineage: Eukaryota; Fungi; Glomeromycota; Glomeromycetes; Glomerales; Glomeraceae.
AGCAGCCGCGGUAAUUCCAGCUCCAAUAGCGUAUAUUAAAGUUGCUGCAGUUAAAAAGCUCGUAGUUGAAUUUCGGGACUAAUAUGUCGGUCGUGCCUCGGUACGUACUGGUAUUUUUGGUUUCUCCCUUCUGACGAACCUUGAUGUCAUUAAUUUGGUGUCUUGGGAAAUCAGGACUGUUACUUUGAAAAAAUUAGAGUGUUUAAAGCAGGCUCACGCUUGAAUACAUUAGCAUGGAAUAAUGAAAUAGGACGUUUGAUUCUAUUUUGUUGGUUUCUAGGAUCGACGUAAUGAUUAAUAGGGAUAGUUGGGGGCAUUAGUAUUCAAUUGUCAGAGGUGAAAUUCUUGGAUUUAUUGAAGACUAACUACUGCGAAAGCAUUUGCCAAGGAUGUUUUCAUUAAUCAAGAACGAAAGUUAGGGGAUCGAAGACGAUCAGAUACCGUCGUAGUCUUAACCAUAAACUAUAGCCGACUAGGGAUCGGAUGAUGUUAAUUUUUAAUG